AUGGGCGCGCCGCGUGUUCGGCGCCUGUUGUUGGAGAUGCUCUUAGUACUACCACUAGUUUCCUCAUUUGGGUUUCGCUCACCGUGGCCCUCUGCUCUGCUCCGACUCCGAGGAGAGUCUGCCGCUCCCAGCUGCUCCCCUGACCCUCGAGUGAUUUCUAAGGGGAGACGAGGAGGGAGGGAGAGAGGAGGAGCAAUGGGGGAGAGCGAGUACCGGUGCUGGGAGGAGCUGCUGCCGGACGCGCUGGGGCUCGUCUUCCGCAACCUGCCGCUGCAGGAGGUGCUGACGGUGGUGCCGCGGGUGUGCAAGUCCUGGGGGCGCGUCGUGGCCGGGCCCUACUGCUGGCAGGAGAUCGACAUCGAGGAGUGGAGCCAGCAGCGGCACAGCCGCCCGGACCACCUCAUCCGCAUGCUCGACCUGCUCCUCCGCCGCAGCUCCGGCGCCUGCCGCCGCAUCAGCGUCUCCGGCCUCCCCUGCGACCCGCUCUUCUCCUUCAUCGGCGACCACGCGCGCGCUCUGAGGACGCUGGAGAUCCCGCGGAGCGAGAUCAGCGACGCCGUGGUGGAGGCGGUGGCGCCGGGGCUGCCCAACCUCACGUUCCUGGACAUCAGCAGCUGCACCAAGAUCGGGGCGCGCGCGCUGGAGGCGUUCGGCCGCCACUGCCGGUCCCUGGCGGCGCUCCGGCGCGUGAUGCACCCGAUCGACGUGGCCGGGCGCAACGCGUGCGGGCAGCACGACGAGGCCCGCGCCAUCGCGCGCACCAUGCCGGCGCUCCGCCACCUGGAGGUCGGCUACAUGCUGGUCACCACGGAGGCCAUCCUGGAGGUGCUCUCCCGGUGCCGGGGCCUGGAGUUCGUCGACCUGCGCGGCUGCUGGGCCGUCGACGAGGCGCUGCUGCGGGCGCGCCACCCGCGGCUCAGCGUCCUCGGCCCGGGCGUCGACGACUGCUUCGAGAACAGCUACUGGGAGGAGUGCUCCGACGACGACUCUGAGGACGACGAGGUCUACUCGUGGGAGCUCAUGGACGACGACGAGUACUACGGCGUGGUCGGCAGCGACGACGACGAGGCCGUGUGGGGCGACGGGCCGGGCCUCGUGGAGAACCUCGAGGUGCGGUUCUACGGCGGCGGCUUCAGCGAGAGCUACGCCGGCAUCGACUGGCCAGCGUCGCCGUGA
This 1176-nucleotide ribosomal RNA is filed under the name Triticum aestivum (bread wheat). Its description in RNAcentral is "partial small subunit ribosomal RNA". Lineage: Eukaryota; Viridiplantae; Streptophyta; Magnoliopsida; Poales; Poaceae. The record is from RNAcentral.